This 253-nucleotide ribosomal RNA is filed under the name uncultured bacterium. RNAcentral describes it as "partial 16S ribosomal RNA". It matches the Rfam family "Bacterial small subunit ribosomal RNA", at positions 524 to 776 of the family's 1533-position model. The record is from RNAcentral.
GACAGGGGGUGCAAACGUUGUUCGGAAUUACUGGGCGUAAAGCGCGUGUAGGCGGCCCUGCAAGUCGGAUGUGAAAUCCCACGGCUCAACCGUGGAAGUGCAUUCGAAACUGCAGGGCUAGAAUCCUGGAGAGGAAGGUGGAAUGCUUGGUGUAGAGGUGAAAUUCGUAGAUAUCAAGCGGAACACCGGUGGCGAAGGCGGCCUUCUGGACAGUGACUGACGCUGAGACGCGAAAGCGUGGGGAGCAAACAGG